GCAAGUCGAACGAACUCUGGUAUUGAUUGGUGCUUGCAUCAUGAUUUACAUUUGAGUGAGUGGCGAACUGGUGAGUAACACGUGGGAAACCUGCCCAGAAGCGGGGGAUAACACCUGGAAACAGAUGCUAAUACCGCAUAACAACUUGGACCGCAUGGUCCGAGCUUGAAAGAUGGCUUCGGCUAUCACUUUUGGAUGGUCCCGCGGCGUAUUAGCUAGAUGGUGGGGUAACGGCUCACCAUGGCAAUGAUACGUAGCCGACCUGAGAGGGUAAUCGGCCACAUUGGGACUGAGACACGGCCCAAACUCCUACGGGAGGCAGCAGUAGGGAAUCUUCCACAAUGGACGAAAGUCUGAUGGAGCAACGCCGCGUGAGUGAAGAAGGGUUUCGGCUCGUAAAACUCUGUUGUUAAAGAAGAACAUAUCUGAGAGUAACUGUUCAGGUAUUGACGGUAUUUAACCAGAAAGCCACGGCUAACUACGUGCCAGCAGCCGCGGUAAUACGUAGGUGGCAAGCGUUGUCCGGAUUUAUUGGGCGUAAAGCGAGCGCAGGCGGUUUUUUAAGUCUGAUGUGAAAGCCUUCGGCUCAACCGAAGAAGUGCAUCGGAAACUGGGAAACUUGAGUGCAGAAGAGGACAGUGGAACUCCAUGUGUAGCGGUGAAAUGCGUAGAUAUAUGGAAGAACACCAGUGGCGAAGGCGGCUGUCUGGUCUGUAACUGACGCUGAGGCUCGAAAGUAUGGGUAGCAAACAGGAUUAGAUACCCUGGUAGUCCAUACCGUAAACGAUGAAUGCUAAGUGUUGGAGGGUUUCCGCCCUUCAGUGCUGCAGCUAACGCAUUAAGCAUUCCGCCUGGGGAGUACGGCCGCAAGGCUGAAACUCAAAGGAAUUGACGGGGGCCCGCACAAGCGGUGGAGCAUGUGGUUUAAUUCGAAGCUACGCGAAGAACCUUACCAGGUCUUGACAUACUAUGCAAAUCUAAGAGAUUAGACGUUCCCUUCGGGGACAUGGAUACAGGUGGUGCAUGGUUGUCGUCAGCUCGUGUCGUGAGAUGUUGGGUUAAGUCCCGCAACGAGCGCAACCCUUAUUAUCAGUUGCCAGCAUUAAGUUGGGCACUCUGGUGAGACUGCCGGUGACAAACCGGAGGAAGGUGGGGAUGACGUCAAAUCAUC
Molecule: ribosomal RNA, 1171 nt
Filed under: Lactiplantibacillus plantarum
Lineage: Bacteria; Bacillati; Bacillota; Bacilli; Lactobacillales; Lactobacillaceae
Description: bacterial SSU rRNA
Rfam family: Bacterial small subunit ribosomal RNA
Source: RNAcentral